GGGCGUAAGAGCUUGUAGGCGGUUUGUCGCGUCUGCCGUGAAAAUCCGGGGCUCAACCCCGGACUUGCGGUGGGUACGGGCAGACUAGAGUGUGGUAGGGGAGACUGGAAUUCCUGGUGUAGCGGUGAAAUGCGCAGAUAUCAGGAGGAACACCGAUGGCGAAGGCAGGUCUCUGGGCCACUACUGACGCUGAGAAGCGAAAGCGUGGGGAGCGAACAGGAUUAGAUACCCUGGUAGUCCACGCCGUAAACGUUGGGAACUAGGUGUGGGCCUCAUUCCACGAGGUCUGUGCCGCAGCUAACGCAUUAAGUUCCCCGCCUGGGGAGUACGGCCGCAAGGCUAAAACUCAAAGGAAUUGACGGGGGCCCGCACAAGCGGCGGAGCAUGUGGAUUAAUUCGAUGCAACGCGAAGAACCUUACCAAGGCUUGACAUACACCGGAAACACCCAGAGAUGGGUGCCCCGCAAGGUCGGUGUACAGGUGGUGCAUGGUUGUCGUCAGCUCGUGUCGUGAGAUGUUGGGUUAAGUCCCGCAACGAGCGCAACCCUCGUUCUAUGUUGCCAGCGCGUAAAGGCGGGGACUCAUAGGAGACUGCCGGGGUCAACUCGGAGGAAGGUGGGGAUGACGUC
RNAcentral lists this ribosomal RNA (629 nucleotides) under uncultured bacterium. RNAcentral describes it as "bacterial SSU rRNA". It matches the Rfam family "Bacterial small subunit ribosomal RNA", at positions 556 to 1186 of the family's 1533-position model. The record is from RNAcentral.